AGGAACCCCCUAGAGAGGAGAGGAUCCUCCAGAGAGAGGAAGAUGCCUUGGCCUUCCUCUCCUGCUCAGCUUAUCUGGAAUUGCCUCCUGUCUCCCUGGGCCGAGCCAGGGAGGGGUGGGGAGAGCUCCCUGACAAGCUGAUCCUUGCAGCAUUCUAGAAUGUUCCCUCAGACAGGUUUAUGAACACAGAAAGGGCUUAGUGUCCCUCAAGGCCUGGGGUGGGGGGAAGGCUGGGAGGAGACACCUAUAGGUGGUGGCCCUUUGGUUUUGCUUUCUCCACUCUGAACAAACCUGUUGGAAUCUCUUUACUUUGAGGAAACUGAGGCAAGAGGAAGUUAAGUAAAUUACCAGAAGAGACCAGGUGAGGGCUUCACACCUGUUGUGUGGUCCAGAGCCUGGGCUUCUGCCUCUUCUUGUUCUGGGCUGAAGGUCUACCCAGGGGAGGACUCAGGAUGUUAGUUGAGAGAACAUGAGUCUUUCCUCAGAAGAGGUGGUGGUGAUGCAUGUGACCACCACCAUGGUCUGCCAAGACAGCUCUAGAGCCUCCUUGCAAAGCUCCCACAGGGAGCCCUCCCUCUAGAGCCCAGCAGGCAGAUCCUUCAAUGCUUACUAUGGAGCAGAGAAGAGACACAGCAGAGCACAGGUUCCACCCUUUGGGAGUCUCCCUGUCCAAGCACCACCAUACUAGGAGCCACGUCUCUGACACUCGCACCCUAAGGAAACGCAUUCAAAGCACAGCAUGCCAAUGCUUCAAGAUCCAUCCUAGUCCCCGAGGCCUGGUGUCUAUCUGUGUACUUUGAUACCAUCCGAGUAGAUCUUUGGGGCCAUGGCCUGGCCAGAGCAGCCAAAGAGUUGUAGCUCUUCAAGGGGAGGACAGGAACCUACUUGUGAGUAGAUUUAAAUGUCUAUUGUUCUCAAUUAUGAGGAUUGUUGGGGUUUCUUAAUCUGCUC
Molecule: long non-coding RNA, 951 nt
Filed under: Mus spicilegus (steppe mouse)
Lineage: Eukaryota; Metazoa; Chordata; Mammalia; Rodentia; Muridae
Description: lncRNA (ENSMSIG00000021083.1)
Source: RNAcentral